RNAcentral lists this ribosomal RNA (253 nucleotides) under uncultured bacterium. Its description in RNAcentral is "partial 16S ribosomal RNA". It matches the Rfam family "Bacterial small subunit ribosomal RNA", at positions 524 to 776 of the family's 1533-position model. The record is from RNAcentral.
UACGAAGGGGGCUAGCGUUGCUCGGAAUGACUGGGCGUAAAGGGCGCGUAGGCGGAUUGUACAGUCAGGCGUGAAAUUCCCGGGCUCAACCUGGGUGCUGCGCUUGAGACGUGCGAUCUUGAGUGGGGAAGAGGGUCGUGGAAUUCCCAGUGUAGAGGUGAAAUUCGUAGAUAUUGGGAAGAACACCGGUGGCGAAGGCGGCGACCUGGUCCUUGACUGACGCUGAGGCGCGAAAGCGUGGGGAGCAAACAGG